This 515-nucleotide ribosomal RNA is filed under the name uncultured bacterium. RNAcentral's name for it is "partial 16S ribosomal RNA". It matches the Rfam family "Bacterial small subunit ribosomal RNA", at positions 28 to 523 of the family's 1533-position model. The record is from RNAcentral.
GAUGAACGCUGGCGGCGUGCCUAAUACAUGCAAGUCGAGCGAAUGGAUUAAGAGCUUGCUCUUAUGAAGUUAGCGGCGGACGGGUGAGUAACACGUGGGUAACCUGCCCAUAAGACUAGGAUAACUCCGGGAAACCGGGGCUAAUACCGGAUAACAUUUUGAACCGCAUGGUUCGAAAUUGAAAGGCGGCUUCGGCUGUCACUUAUGGAUGGACCCGCGUCGCAUUAGCUAGUUGGAGGGGUAACGGCUCACCAAGGCAACGAUGCGUAGCCGACCUGAGAGGGUGAUCGGCCACACUGGGACUGAGACACGGCCCAGACUCCUACGGGAGGCAGCAGUAGGGAAUCUUCCGCAAUGGACGAAAGUCUGACGGAGCAACGCCGCGUGAGUGAUGAAGGCUUUCGGGUCGUAAAACUCUGUUGUUAGGGAAGAACAAGUGCUAGUUGAAUAAGCUGGCACCUUGACGGUACCUAACCAGAAAGCCACGGCUAACUACGUGCCAGCAGCCGCCGUAA